CGGACGGGUGAGUAACGCGUGAGAAUCUGCCCUCAGGAGGGGGAUAACGGCUGGAAACGGCCGCUAAUACCCCAUAUGCCGAGAGGUGAAAUGAAUUUCGCCUGAGGAUGAGCUCGCGUCUGAUUAGCUAGUUGGUGGGGUAAAGGCCUACCAAGGCUUCGAUCAGUAGCUGGUCUGAUAGGAUGGUCAGCCACACUGGGACUGAGACACGGCCCAGACUCCUACGGGAGGCAGCAGUGGGGAAUUUUCCGCAAUGGGCGAAAGCCUGACGGAGCAACGCCGCGUGAGGGAUGAAGGCCUCUGGGCUGGAAACCUCUUUUAUCAAGGAAGAAGAUCUGACGGUACUUGAUGAAUAAGCCACGGCUAAUUCCGUGCCACCAGCCGCGGUAAUACGGGAGUGGCAAGCGUUAUCCGGAAUUAUUGGGCGUAAAGCGUCCUCAGGCGGUCUUGUAAGUCUGUCGUUAAAGCGUGCAGCUUAGCUCCAUUUGAGCGAUGGAAACUGCAAGACUACAGUGUGGUAGGGACAGAUGGAAUUCCCGGUGUAGCGGUGAAAUGCGUAGAUAUCGGGUAGAACACCAGUGUAGAAGGCACUACUGCUGGUCCAUAACUGACGCUCAUGGACUAAAGCCUGGGGAGCGAAAGGGAUUAGAUACCCCUGUAGUC
RNAcentral lists this ribosomal RNA (663 nucleotides) under uncultured cyanobacterium. RNAcentral's name for it is "bacterial SSU rRNA". It matches the Rfam family "Bacterial small subunit ribosomal RNA", at positions 99 to 795 of the family's 1533-position model. The record is from RNAcentral. Lineage: Bacteria; Bacillati; Cyanobacteriota.